CUGGAACCGCGCUGGGCCGCGCCUGGACAGCCGCGCCGGGCUGCCUUUCCCACUGCGCCCCAGACACGUCCCUGUCUUCUCGUCCCUUCUCCCAUCUCCACCUUGUCCCGGCCUCCAGCUUCUACCUGUGGGCUUGGGGCCCAGGAGUGAAGGCCCAGCCGCAGCUGGGAGGGCUGAGCCGGACACCCGGUAGCGGACGGGGCAGUCAGCCGGUCCGGGCAUCAGCCCCACGGGGCGCCCGCGCUGCGACAACCCGUCCGUUCUGGUCCAGGGGGGGGCGCCCGGGCGCUGUGCUGGCCCUUUGUCUCCGAUGUCUCUGGAGAUGCCUGCGGAGCGGGUGAACGGAUGACCUUCUAGCUGGACGCCUGCAGGCUCCCGAGUAAGGGAACCAGGCCGAAGCCAGCAGGGUUCAGGAGGCUUCUGAACCCGACCUCUCAGUGGGCGGGGUGUAGACCUGGAGAUCCAGAAGCCAAUUUCUAAUAGAUUCUAGGUGUGUUAGGAGACAGUGGUACAUGAGAAACUCUAAAGUAUCAAAUGGCUUAAAUGUAUGUCCUGAAUUACGCAGCGGGCCAGGUGCUUCCGAGAGAUACACUUGGGAUGCGCAUUCAACCCAGGAGACCCCGUCCCUGCCCUGGGCUGGACACUGAGAGGACGCAGGGGUGGUCAGAAGCGGCUUCCCUUCCUCCAGGCAGACACGACACAACCAGAGAACAACUGGGGGUCAUCCCUGGUCAGUCCUCAGAGCACAGAAAAGAAAAUCUUUGUAAAAGCCCUCAAAGGCCUUCUCCACAGUGGAGGCUGGGAAAGCAAGCAUCUGCUAUUUUCAGCUUCUGUGGCGUGAAGCGAGUUCUGCCAGGAAGGAAGAAGGGAGGAGGGAAUUGAUCUUGGGUCCUCCAUCAACGCCUGCCGGCUUCUCAUACUCCGGAGAGUCUCACCUGCCAGCUCUCCUUUAUGACCCUGCCUCUCCCCAUGGCUAAGGAAAUCCCGCUCCUAACAGACAGUCUUACUCUGUCACCCCUGGUAGAGUGCCCUGGUGUCAUAACUCACAGCAACCUCAAACUCUUGGGUUUAAGCCUUCCUCCAACCUCAGCCUCCAGAGAAGCUGGGACUAUAGGCAUCCACCACAACACCCAGGCAACAUCUCACUCUAUUGCCCCAGGGUGUCAGACCAGCUCACAGCAACCUCAAACUUGUGGACUCAAGGGAUCCUCUUGCCUCAGCCUCCCAGGUAGCUGCCACCACACCCAACUAAUUUUUCUAUUUUUUAGUAGAGACAGGUGUCUCCCUUUUGCUCAGGCUGGUCUCAAACUCCUGAGCACAAGCAAUCCACCUCCCUUGGCCUCCUAGAGUGCUAGGACUAUGGGCAUGAGGCAUCAUACCCAGCCUUGGGCAUCACAUUUUAAUUCUGAAAACCCACUGUUAAACACAAAUAUUUUCUAUUUGAAAUCUGUUCAAUAAACUUCAAUUUCAUAUUUAUAGCAAAUUUCAGUGAUUCAUACCCGAUCUUUAAAAUAAACUCAUGACAAACUCACUACAGCUUAACCACUGCACUCGUCAGAUGCACCAUAUAAAGAACUCACAUCUGCUUAACACGAUUUUAUUUUUAUCUGUAUUUCUACUAAGAUUAACACUGUUCUUCAAUUGACCACAAUUACGAAGGCUGAUAAUGGGGAUCUGGAGUCAACCGCAAAUACUGUUUGUGGGAAUGUAAACUGGCAGUCUUUCUGGAGCCCGAUCUGGCAAUUUAACAAAAUCUUACAUACACAUACGGUCUGACCAAGCAAAUGCAUGUGUAGAUUUGUCAAACAGAAAUAUCAACACAGUGAACCAAAAUCUAGAAACGAAACUCAAGGCAACAGUGGGAACAGUGACAAUGAAAUGGGCCUGUGUGCAGGAGAAAGGGAACAGAGCACGCCUGGGAUUGCCAUCCUCAGACCUGCCUGCAAGACUGGCUCGGGGCUCACCUAGAAACCUGGCUGGCGGUCAGCUCCCUAUAAUGGUAUAAAGCUUUUCCUAAAAAUCCAAACCCAGGUAUACAAAAUCACCAAAGAACUGAUGUCCUACAAGCUGGAGCCACCUUGCACUGGGGCUUGUCUGAUUUUAAAAUAUACUUUUCUUCUUGUUUAAGCAUUUGAAAGUGGGGUUUUACUGCUUACAAAGCAUUCCUCUGGAUUCCCCUUUCUAGCUUAUAUGAAGAGACACUGGGAUUUAUAGGCCUGAGCCCAGGCUUUGUAGCUACCAGAAGUGUCACGCACUACCUUUGUGAAUGUGAGCAAGGCACUUACCCUCCUGAGGUGCAAGUGAAAAGCUACUGAUUUUUAAGUGCAGUUGUGGAAAAAUAGAGAGUAACUCAUUGUGUUAGCUGCACGUUUAUAAACGUCAAUGAUCAGAGAAGUCCUAGCAAACAGUCUGUGAUACACAUGGACAAUGAUGGAACUCCACCUCAGUGAGCCCUAACCCAAAAACAUCUGAGUCCUAGAAAUUCUGCCCAAUGUCCACAUUAUGAAAACGACCUCAUCUGUUACCAGAAACAUCGGAUUUUGGUCAAAGGAAAUAAUUACUUUUAGUAGCUAACCUGAUAGCAUAAUCUAAUAGGUGAAAAUUUUAUUUGGGUCAGUGUUAUUUAGUAUUUUGAUUUUAAAAUAUUUUAUAUAGAUAGGUUAAGUACACAUUUUCACUUGCAGGAUAUAUGCAGAUUUGAAUUCUAAUCUUCAACCCAAACUUUAAAUCCCUGAAAAAUACAAUGGUGGAAAACAACACAGAGUAAUAAUCAAUAGUAAGACAGGCUAAGCCAACCACAGCACUGGGAGAUGGUCUGCUUUGGGCAGUAAUUCAAACAAUAUGGAACAAGCAAUCUCCAUUUAAAUUAACAGAGAGGCACAGUCAUGAAGCUCUGAAAUUUCUUUUCCUGUGACUAUAAACUAUUGUGUACCAGAGGCACAUUCUGAAAUUUAAAUUACUAUUCUUAAAGGUUAUAUUAGAAAAAGAAUUAGUAUUUAUUAUUCUUAAAUAACUUAUUGACCAAUGUCAUAUAUAAAUAGGGGACAAAUACAUAUGUCUGUGUACAAACUUCAAUGUAUAUACACACAUAGACCAACAGAAGCUUUCAAACAAGCCCUAAAGAGUAUUUAAUUAAUUACAGAGGUAGAAAAUAAUUUGUGAACUUAAGUUAUCACACACAUCAGUGGUUCUCAACCUUCCUAAUGCC
Long non-coding RNA from Nycticebus coucang (slow loris), 3208 nucleotides. RefSeq lists it as uncharacterized. The transcript has 4 exons. The record is from RefSeq and is a predicted model, not a curated record. NCBI's taxonomy places the organism in Eukaryota, Metazoa, Chordata, Mammalia, Primates, Lorisidae.